AAAGAUCUAAAUAAUUUUUAUUGUUUUUGUUUCAAAAAAAUUUUUAAAGUUUAUUUAGUUGUGAAAUUCUAAUCGCUUUUAUUAAUAUCUAGUAACUUUAGAAAUAAAUUUAGUUUAGAAUGAUAAGGAAAUUUUUAUUUAAUAUUAAUUCUUGAUUCAUUUUUAAAUCUUUGGGGAUGAGCUCAAAGAUUAUUUUAAAAGAAUGGAAUUUUGGUAUUUUAUCUAUAGGCUUAGAAUUAGCCAUAAAAUAUUGUUAUAAAAUAUAAUUUCAAUUUUUAGAUUUUUCUUUCUUUUUAUUUUAUAAAGUUAAUUAUAAAAUUUCUUUUAUUUUGAAAAUAUGAUAACAUUAGUAGAUUAAUAAAUUAUGAAUAUUUUUUAAAUUUAUCUUCAUAAUUUUAAUUAAUAAAUUUAACAAAAGAACUCGGCAAAAAUAAUUUCCGAAUGUUUAACAAAAACAUUUCCUCUUAGGAAAAGAGGUAAAGCCUGCUCACUGAGGACUUAAAGAGCCGCAGUAUCCUAACUGUGCUAAGGUAGCAUAAUCAUUAGUCUUUUAAUUGGAGACUGGUAUGAAUGGCUUAACGAGAAAUUGACUUUUUUUGUUAUAAAAAUUGAAUUUAAUUUUUUAGUGAAAAAGCUAAAAUAGUUCAGAAAGACGAGAAGACCCUAUAGAGUUUUAUGUUAUAUAAGAUUCAUUUUUAGUAGAUUUUUAAAAAAUGAGUUUUAAAGAACAUUUUGUUGGGGCGACAUUUAGAUAUAAGAAACUCUUUAUUUUUAUAAUUUUAGUAAAAAUUUUAACUGAUCCUUUAAAAAAGAUCAAAAGAAAAAAUUACCUUAGGGAUAACAGCGUAAUCUUUUUUGAGAGUUCUAAUCGACAAAAAGGUUUGCGACCU
RNAcentral lists this ribosomal RNA (890 nucleotides) under Hiroa stubbingsi. Its description in RNAcentral is "partial 16S large subunit ribosomal RNA". The stretch from base 397 to 639 matches the Rfam family "Archaeal large subunit ribosomal RNA", at positions 1786 to 2143 of the family's 2987-position model. Lineage: Eukaryota; Metazoa; Arthropoda; Thecostraca; Balanomorpha; Pyrgomatidae. The record is from RNAcentral.